This 972-nucleotide long non-coding RNA is filed under the name Selaginella moellendorffii. RNAcentral's name for it is "long non-coding RNA (SMOE_LNC001299)". The record is from RNAcentral. Lineage: Eukaryota; Viridiplantae; Streptophyta; Lycopodiopsida; Selaginellales; Selaginellaceae.
UUCCGUCACUCGAGAGCACCGCUGUAGCAUCACUGACUGCUUCCCAUGAUCGCAGUGAAGAUUCUCCCUGUAGCAGCGACGAGCAAUCCGUCAAGGUCGGAGUUUUCGUGAGAGCACUGGAUCCAUACCCCAAUUCGCCGAGCAUGGAGCAGCAGCCUGAUCUUCCAGCGACCACCAGAGAGAUCGACCCAGCAGCGACGACGACGACGACGACGACGAUGGCGAUCUCAUCACCGCCACUUCCACCACCAUCGCUAGCAGCCCCGGGAAGAAGCCCAUCACUGGCAGCCACCACCAAGGUGAGCAACUGCAAGGAAAACGAUGAGCCGAGUGUUAGAAAGGACAGGGAGGAGUGGAGCGAGGCGGCCAUAUCGACGCUCAUAGAUGCUUACACUGCCAAGUAUGGCCAAUUGAACGGCAAGGGGCUGCGGAGCAAGGACUGGGCCGAGGUCGUGGACACAGUCAACAGCAACCAAAAGUCGGCUAAGACGGUGGAGCAUUGCCGGAACAAAAUGGACACGCUUACCAAGCGCUACAAGUCGGAGAAGAAGAACAAGCUGUCCGGAGCCGAGAGCUCCUGGCCGUGGUAUGACAAGAUGGAGAUCAUACGGGGCUGCUCUCCGGGAAAAUCUGUCACUGCUGCCGCCGCUGCUGCUGCUGCUGCUGCGGCCGCUGCCGCCGCUGCUGCCUCGGCAAGUAACAGCAACAUCAGCAAAGCUUUUGUGGGAGUUAUUCCUCCUGGAAAGGAGAGGAUUAGAAACAAGAGAGGGAAGAAAGUAGUCCUGAGCAACAGCGAAGACGCGUCAGUCCAGAGCCAGAGCGAGAAAAACAAGGAAGGUACUUACCCGCCAGUAAAGCCAGUGGUCGUAGUAGCACCAUCGCCAGGAGGAGGAGGAAUACCAGCACCAGCAGCUCCGCCACCACCACCACCGAGUUUAAGCUUUAGCAAAGUUGAUGGACCCGGUUUCAAGC